Molecule: ribosomal RNA, 384 nt
Filed under: Xanthias punctatus
Lineage: Eukaryota; Metazoa; Arthropoda; Malacostraca; Decapoda; Xanthidae
Description: partial 12S ribosomal RNA
Source: RNAcentral
UUAGAUACCCUAUUAUACUAAUAAAAACCUAAAUUAUUAAUAGAUAUAGACUUUAAACUUGAAGAAUUUGGCGGUGAUUUAAUCUUAUUAGAGGAACCUGUCUUUGAAUCGAUAAACCACGUAGAAUCUUACUCAUUUUAUUUAGUUUAUAUACCGUCAUUAUCAGAUGAUUUUAAGAGAAUUUAAUCAUUAAAGAUUGUAAAAUACAAAUUAAAUUAGAUCAAGGUGUAGCUUAUAAAUGAGUUAGGAUGGGUUACAAUAAAUAUUUAUUUAUACGAAUUAGCUGAGGGAGAAAGUUGCUAGGAAGGAGGAUUUAACUGUAAUUUGAGUUUAAUAAGCUUGAAAGAUAUAAGCUCUAAAUCAUGUACAUAUCGCCCGUCGCUA